This 1408-nucleotide ribosomal RNA is filed under the name Enoplus communis. RNAcentral's name for it is "SSU rRNA". It matches the Rfam family "Eukaryotic small subunit ribosomal RNA", at positions 33 to 1472 of the family's 1831-position model. The record is from RNAcentral. Lineage: Eukaryota; Metazoa; Nematoda; Enoplea; Enoplida; Enoplidae.
UGUCUCAAAGAUUAAGCCAUGCAUGUCUAAGUACACACUGAUUAAUAGUGAAGCUGUGAAUGGCUCAUUACAACAGCCGUAGUUUAUUUGAUUUAUAGAGUUACACGGAUACCUGUGGUAACCUAAGAGCUAAUACGCGCAAUUAAGUCCAGACCUCACGGAACGGACGCGGUUAUUAGACCAAAACCAAUCGGGCUUGUCCCGGUUUUUUGGUGACUCUGAAUAACUCUGCAGAUCGCACGGUCCUCGCACCGGCGACAUGUCAUUCAAAUGUCUGCCUUAUCAACUUUCGAUGGUAGUUUAUGCGCCUACCAUGGUUGUAACGGGUAACGGAGAAUUAGGGUUCGACUCCGGAGAGGGAGCCUGAGAAACGGCUACCACAUCCAAGGAAGGCAGCAGGCACGCAAAUUACCCACUCCCAAUACGGGGAGGUAGUGACGAAAAAUAACGAGACGGUUCUCAAAGAGGCCCGUCAUCGGAAUGGGUACAAUUUAAAUCCUUUAACGAGGAUCUAUUGGAGGGCAAGUCUGGUGCCAGCAGCCGCGGUAAUUCCAGCUCCAAUAGCGUAUAUUAAAGUUGUUGCGUUUAAAAAGCUCGUAGUUGGAUCUGCGCCUUAGGUUUGCGGUCCCCUAACGGGAGGUACUGCUUUACCUGGGCUUAUCCUCUGGUUUUCCCUUGGUGCUCUUUACCGAGUGCUCUGGGUGACUGGAACUUUUACUUUGAAAAAAUUAGAGUGCUCAAAGCAGGCGUCAGCCUGAAUAGUGGUGCAUGGAAUAAUAAAAAAGGACUUCGGUUCUAUUUUGUUGGUUUUCGGAACAGAAGUAAUGAUUAAGAGGGACAGACGGGGGCAUUCGUAUUGCGACGUUAGAGGUGAAAUUCUUGGAUCGUCGCAAGACGUACUAUUGCGAAAGCAUUUGCCAAGAAUGUUUUCAUUAAUCAAGAACGAAAGUUAGAGGUUCGAAGGCGAUCAGAUACCGCCCUAGUUCUAACCGUAAACGAUGCCAGCUAGCGAUCCGCGGGAGUUAGAUAUAUGACUUCGCGGGCAGCUUCCGGGAAACCAAAGCGUUUGGGUUCCGGGGGAAGUAUGGUUGCAAAUCUGAAACUUAAAGGAAUUGACGGAAGGGCACCACCAGGAGUGGAGCCUGCGGCUUAAUUUGACUCAACGCGGGGAAACUCACCCGGCCCGGACACCGUAAGGAUUGACAGAUUGAGAGCUCUUUCUUGAUUCGGUGGUUGGUGGUGCAUGGCCGUUCUUAGUUGGUGGAGCGAUUUGUCUGGUUAAUUCCGAUAACGAACGAGACUCUAGCCUACUAAACUAGGCAGCAAAUUUUGUUGUUUGUUGAACUUCUUAGAGGGACAGAGGGUUUCUAGCCCUACGAGAUUGAGCAAUAACAGGUCUGUGAUGCCC